Molecule: ribosomal RNA, 465 nt
Filed under: Vreelandella stevensii
Lineage: Bacteria; Pseudomonadati; Pseudomonadota; Gammaproteobacteria; Oceanospirillales; Halomonadaceae
Description: partial 16S ribosomal RNA
Rfam family: Bacterial small subunit ribosomal RNA
Source: RNAcentral
CCUACGGGAGGCUGCAGUGGGGAAUAUUGGACAAUGGGGGGAACCCUGAUCCAGCCAUGCCGCGUGUGUGAAGAAGGCCCUCGGGUUGUAAAGCACUUUCAGUGAGGAAGAACGCCUGGUGGUUAAUACCCAUCAGGAAAGACAUCACUCACAGAAGAAGCACCGGCUAACUCCGGGCCAGCAGCCGCGGUAAUACGGAGGGUGCGAGCGUUAAUCGGAAUUACUGGGCGUAAAGCGCGCGUAGGUGGCUUGAUAAGCCGGUUGUGAAAGCCCCGGGCUCAACCUGGGAACGGCAUCCGGAACUGUCAAGCUAGAGUGCAGGAGAGGAAGGUAGAAUUCCCGGUGUAGCGGUGAAAUGCGUAGAGAUCGGGAGGAAUACCAGUGGCGAAGGCGGCCUUCUGGACUGACACUGACACUGAGGUGCGAAAGCGUGGGUAGCAAACAGGAUUAGAUACCCUGGUAGUC